RNAcentral lists this ribosomal RNA (253 nucleotides) under uncultured bacterium. Its description in RNAcentral is "partial 16S ribosomal RNA". It matches the Rfam family "Bacterial small subunit ribosomal RNA", at positions 524 to 776 of the family's 1533-position model. The record is from RNAcentral.
UACGAAGGGGGCAAGCGUUGUUCGGAAUUACUGGGCGUAAAGCGCACGUAGGCGGAUAUUUAAGUCAGGGGUGAAAUCCCAGAGCUCAACUCUGGAACUGCCUUUGAUACUGGGUAUCUUGAGUAUGGAAGAGGUGAGUGGAAUUCCGAGUGUAGAGGUGAAAUUCGUAGAUAUUCGGAGGAACACCAGUGGCGAAGGCGGCUCACUGGACCGGUACUGACGCUGAUGCGCGAAAGCGUGGGGAGCAAACGGG